Molecule: ribosomal RNA, 253 nt
Filed under: uncultured bacterium
Lineage: Bacteria
Description: partial 16S ribosomal RNA
Rfam family: Bacterial small subunit ribosomal RNA
Source: RNAcentral
GACAGAGGACGCAAGCGUUGUUCGGAUUUACUGGGCGUAAAGGGCGUGUAGGCGGACUGCUAAGUCGGGGGUGAAAUCCCAGGGCUCAACCCGGGAAUGUCUCCCGAAACUGACAGUCUAGAGAGAGCUAGAGGCAGGUGGAAUUCCCGGUGUAGAGGUGAAAUUCGUAGAGAUCGGGAGGAACACCGGCGGCGAAGGCGGCCUGCUGGGGCUUUUCUGACGCUGAGGCGCGAAAGCGUGGGGAGCAAACAGG